Ailuropoda melanoleuca (giant panda) is the source of this 2829-nucleotide long non-coding RNA. RefSeq lists it as uncharacterized. Lineage: Eukaryota; Metazoa; Chordata; Mammalia; Carnivora; Ursidae. The transcript is spliced from 3 exons. The record is from RefSeq and is a predicted model, not a curated record.
GCAAGGGGAGCCAGGUAAGCUGUUGGACAUCCAUGGGGACAACUCAGUGGCAGAUGUAGCAAAAGCAGUUUUCUGUCUCAGUGAGUCACAGGACGGUCGUAGGGUACAGAUAAUACCCAAAGACACAAACGAUAGCUCGAUCAAUGGGAAUCUUGAGACAAAGCAAAGAGAUAAGAUGCAUAUUGGUUCUAGAUUCUCAAGUCUUGGGCCCCAUCACAGCACUCUGGAAUUGCUAUCAUAACCUCCCGAUUUCCUCCCACCUCCAGCCUCUGCUCCUGGGGGUCCACAUUGCACACUCCAGCCAGAUGAGUCUUUCGUAAAGGCUAAUUUCACCCUUGCCAUUAGCUUGCAAAUAUUGUACACUACCCAUAGGUUAACACAUAGAUGCCCUGGGAGCCUGCUUUUUGAAGGAGCCUCCUGAACUAUUGCCAGAGGAACUCAUUAAAGACUUCUGAGCCUUCCCCCAGCCCAGGGAAUCCUGAUUUAGGUGAUCAGAGACCAGGCUCCAGGAAUUAGCAUUUCAAAAGCUGGAAUCAGGACCACACUUGAGGAAUGUGGUCCAACGUCCCUGCAUUUUCCAAGCGGUGCGUGGCUUAGGACCUCUUCAUCUCACUCAGCUCACAGCAGCCUCUCUGCCAUCCCCAGCACCCACGGGCGCCUCAGUGCUCUGCCCAGGAACCUCUCCCCAUGGGGACGGCUCUUCUUCUCCUUACUUCCCCCUGCAAACCCUUCCAACCCUUGAAGAUCAACCUCCAGUGUCCUCUGAAUCAAGACAUCCUCAAGCCCUUCCACGCAGAGUGAUGUCCUUGCCCUUCUGACAACUGAUCUCUAUUUAUUACCACCACCAUUUGCUUUUCAUACUUAAUCACACAUCACUUUGCCUUUUGCCUUCUCUCUCUUCCAUCCACUCUUUCAAAGACCAUUAAACACUUCCGCGUGGGAGGCGCUUCUCCCCAACUAUUCAUACGGUGAACGUUUCUGGAGGUGGAGCUCGGUCACGUUUCUUUCAUGUUUACCUUCACAAAAUACUCCCUGGGCUGGGGCUCCUUGGAAGCACUUGUGCAGUUUGGGGUUUUUUUUUUUUUUCUUUUGGAAUGAUGAAUGGAUGAGUAAAUGAAUCAAGUCUUGAGGCAGAAGAAAAUGGGCAAGAGGCCAUGGUGAUGAUCCUUGAUUGCCUGUCCUACUUUCUAUGUUCUUGUUCUUUAUACCCUCUCCUUCAUGCUCGGAGUGGCAGAUUUUCUGGGCCGGUGGCCAGGUGUGUGGGUUGUAAUAUCGUAGAUGUGUCUUCUAAUGCAACACCAUCUUUGAAAUCUUGGCGGUGUGAAGAGGUCACUGGAGGGAGGCAGGCCUGUGAUUCAUGGUAGCAGAAGGUGGGGCUCCAAGAUGACUGAUUGGUUGCCAAUGACAUUGGCACAAUGCCAUUGUGAGGUCAUCAAUUCCCGUGCUCCCAUGCAUUUCCCCUCCUUCUCUAGGUCUUGGUCUUCUCUUGCUUUGGAGGCUUUGGCUCGGGGUCCCCUGGGUCCUACUCGUGGGAGUCCGGCUUUGUGCGAACACCUCCCUAGUGGGCCUGCCCCACUUCCCCACUACUGGCAACGAUUUUAAUUUUCCAGCGUGCCUGGGUUGUCAUGCCCACACAGGCAAACAACGUGUCUUCUGCCAGAUUCACUUAAAAAGACAAACUCUAGAUUUCCCUGGGAGAGCGGCCUGCCACCUGCUGUGAUCCACGUCUUCAGGACAGAUGCGACUCCUGUGAGCCCCGAGACACCGGAGCUGUGUUUGGUCUGCCAGCGGUUAUCGUCAUCACCCCAAAAGGAGUAUUUUCUGUCCCGUCUGUUCCGGGGGACUGAUCAUGCUGCUGGCGAUAAGGACUCCAGCAAAUCUCUGAGGGCUACUGAAAUCAUACCCAUGGAAAGUCAACCUUGGAGCGCCCUGGAAAUACCCGGGAGUGAGAUGAUGCAGCAUGAGUGCCAGAAAGGCUGUUCCCGACUGAGCCCAGACUAAUGCAGCCCUUCCUCGCCCUCGCCUUUCCCCAUUGAUGGCGACCUUCUGGCUCCCCAUUGCAGCCCUUCUGUCGUUCACCAAAAAGCCACCAUCCAAUCCGUGCAGAAGCCAGCCACACCGCUGGGGACACAGGAGACUGGGCAUUCAGGCAGGGAGUGCUGUCUUUCUGGGGACUGUCAUGCAAAGCACUGCAUUCCAGAUCUGAGCUGCUGCUUGUUCCCCGAAGCUUCUCGGCUGAUCUUGUCACCAGCACUCGCUACUCACAUCAGUUACUAAGACAACUGAAAAGGCUUCACCGGUCUCCUGGGAAUCCUGACCGUAUGAAUAGUGCAGGAAAAUAACAGCCACCAGCUGAUAUCCCCAGUGGGGAAGAAAGGACAAUUAAUAGAUUCACCAUUUGCCAUGCAAUUCCAUCGCGAAGCAGCCUCCCUUGUUAGGUCGAGAAACGUCUGCCGUCAUCAGAGUUCAGCUCCCUCACUAUGAAAUGUAUCUUUGCUUUGUUUGUAAGAAAUUCACAUGCCGCUUCUUUUCCUCAUGAGUAUGGGAAGCCUUCAGCCAAGAACAUCUUAAAUAAAUGACUAGCCUUGACAAGAGACACACCAGGGAUGGGGCUGGAACUUCCACCACGGCGUGCUGAGACAUCCCAUCAAGUGUGAUAAAGCAGGAAGGGGGGCUGAAGGCAGCCCCACACUCAGUGUGCCCACAGACAGGCUCCUGAAGUCUCUAGAAGGAUCUCUGUCUCCCCUCUGAAAACAGGUCUGGUUGCUACCGCCUCUGAUUUUUUAAAAACUAUAUAAUUAAUGCCUGCAGUUGUUGAAAAUAAAAAGG